RNAcentral lists this ribosomal RNA (773 nucleotides) under uncultured bacterium. RNAcentral's name for it is "bacterial SSU rRNA". It matches the Rfam family "Bacterial small subunit ribosomal RNA", at positions 8 to 811 of the family's 1533-position model. The record is from RNAcentral.
AGAGUUUGAUCAUGGCUCAGAACGAGCGUUGGCGGCGUGGAUUAGGCAUGCAAGUCGAGGGAAUCCCAGCAAUGGGGGGAACCGGCGUAAGGGGCAGUAAUGCGUGGGUACCUACCCCGGGGUUCGGCAUAGCCUCUCGAGAGAGAGGGUAAUUCCGGAUGACGUCGUGAGACCAAAGAUUUAUCGCCCUGGGAGGGGCCCACGUGAUAUUAGCUAGUUGGUGAGGUAACGGCUCACCAAGGCGAAGAUGUCUAGCGGGUGUGAGAGCACGACCCGCGCCACUGGCACUGAGACACUGGCCAGACACCUACGGGUGGCUGCAGUCGAGGAUCUUCGGCAAUGGGCGCAAGCCUGACCGAGCGACGCCGCGUGUGCGACGAAGGCCUUCGGGUUGUAAAGCACUGUCGAGGGGGAGAAAAGCCCGAAAGGGUUUGAUCUAUCCCUGGAGGAAGCACGGGCUAAGUUCGUGCCAGCAGCCGCGGUAAGACGAACCGUGCGAACGUUGUUCGGAAUCACUGGGCUUAAAGGGCGCGUAGGCGGGCUGCCAAGUCUGGGGUGAAAUCCCACGGCUCAACCGUGGAACGGCCUCGGAUACUGGCGGCCUCGAGGGAGGUAGGGGCAUGCGGAACUAUGCGUGGAGCGGUGAAAUGCGUUGAUAUGCAUAGGAACUCCGGUGGCGAAGGCGGCGUGCUGGACCUCUUCUGACGCUGAGGCGCGAAAGCCAGGGGAGCGAACGGGAUUAGAUACCCCGGUAGUCCUGGCCCUAAACGUUG